ACUCUGGUGGAAGCCCGCAGCG
Molecule: small nuclear RNA, 22 nt
Filed under: Arabidopsis thaliana (thale cress)
Lineage: Eukaryota; Viridiplantae; Streptophyta; Magnoliopsida; Brassicales; Brassicaceae
Description: snRNA_01988
Source: RNAcentral